GACGAACGCUGGCGGCGUGCCUAACACAUGCAAGUCGAACGGGGUAAUGACUUCGGUUAUUACUUAGUGGCGAACGGGUGAGUAACGCGUGAGGAACCUGCCUUUCAGUGGGGGACAACAGUUGGAAACGACUGCUAAUACCGCAUAAUGUAUCGAUGGGGCAUCCUGUUGAUACCAAAGAUUUAUUGCUGAAAGAUGGUCUCGCGUCUGAUUAGCUAGUUGGUGAGGUAACGGCUCACCAAGGCGACGAUCAGUAGCCGGUCUGAGAGGAUGAACGGCCACAUUGGGACUGAGAUACGGCCCAGACUCCUACGGGAGGCAGCAGUGGGGAAUAUUGGGCAAUGGGGGAAACCCUGACCCAGCAACGCCGCGUGAAGGAAGAAGGCCUUCGGGUUGUAAACUUCUUUUACCAGGGACGAAGAACGUGACGGUACCUGGAGAAAAAGACAAACGGCUAACUACGUG
Molecule: ribosomal RNA, 465 nt
Filed under: uncultured bacterium
Lineage: Bacteria
Description: bacterial SSU rRNA
Rfam family: Bacterial small subunit ribosomal RNA
Source: RNAcentral